RNAcentral lists this ribosomal RNA (253 nucleotides) under uncultured bacterium. RNAcentral's name for it is "partial 16S ribosomal RNA". It matches the Rfam family "Bacterial small subunit ribosomal RNA", at positions 524 to 776 of the family's 1533-position model. The record is from RNAcentral.
UACGAGGUGGACAAACGUUAUUCGGAUUUACUGGGCUUAAAGCGUGCGUAGGCGGCUCAGAAAGUUGGGUGUGAAAGCCCCGGGCUCAACCUGGGAACUGCAUUGGAAACUAACGGGCUCGAGUGUGGCAGAGGGGGGUGGAAUUCCACGUGUAGCAGUGAAAUGCGUAGAGAUGUGGAGGAACACCGAUGGCGAAGGCAGCCCCCUGGGCUAACACUGACGCUCAGGCACGAAAGCGUGGGGAGCAAACAGG